RNAcentral lists this ribosomal RNA (580 nucleotides) under Salmonella enterica. RNAcentral describes it as "bacterial SSU rRNA". It matches the Rfam family "Bacterial small subunit ribosomal RNA", at positions 942 to 1522 of the family's 1533-position model. The record is from RNAcentral. RNAcentral also lists the same sequence under 1 other name. Lineage: Bacteria; Pseudomonadati; Pseudomonadota; Gammaproteobacteria; Enterobacterales; Enterobacteriaceae.
UGGUUUAAUUCGAUGCAACGCGAAGAACCUUACCUGGUCUUGACAUCCACAGAACUUUCCAGAGAUGGAUUGGUGCCUUCGGGAACUGUGAGACAGGUGCUGCAUGGCUGUCGUCAGCUCGUGUUGUGAAAUGUUGGGUUAAGUCCCGCAACGAGCGCAACCCUUAUCCUUUGUUGCCAGCGAUUAGGUCGGGAACUCAAAGGAGACUGCCAGUGAUAAACUGGAGGAAGGUGGGGAUGACGUCAAGUCAUCAUGGCCCUUACGACCAGGGCUACACACGUGCUACAAUGGCGCAUACAAAGAGAAGCGACCUCGCGAGAGCAAGCGGACCUCAUAAAGUGCGUCGUAGUCCGGAUUGGAGUCUGCAACUCGACUCCAUGAAGUCGGAAUCGCUAGUAAUCGUGGAUCAGAAUGCCACGGUGAAUACGUUCCCGGGCCUUGUACACACCGCCCGUCACACCAUGGGAGUGGGUUGCAAAAGAAGUAGGUAGCUUAACCUUCGGGAGGGCGCUUACCACUUUGUGAUUCAUGACUGGGGUGAAGUCGUAACAAGGUAACCGUAGGGGAACCUGCGGUUGGA